GAUGAACGCUGGCGGCGUGCCUAAUACAUGCAGGUCGAGCGAACGGACGAGAAGCUUGCUUCUCUGAUGUUAGCGGCGGACGGGUGAGUAACACGUGUAUAACCUACCUAUAAGACUGGGAUAACUUCGGGAAACCGGAGCUAAUACCGGAUAAUAUUUUGAACCGCAUGGUUCAAAAGUGAAAGACGGUCUUGCUGUCACUUAUAGAUGGAUCCGCGCUGCAUUAGCUAGUUGGUAAGUUAACGGCUUACCAAGGCAACGAUGCAUAUCCGACCUGAGAGGGUGAUCGGACACACUGGAACUGAGACACGGACCAGACACCUACGGGAGGCAGCAGUAGGGAAUCUUCCGCAAUGGGCGAAAGCCUGACGGAGCAACGCCGCGUGAGUGAUGAAGGUCUUCGGAUCGUAAAACUCUGUUAUUAGGGAAGAACAUAUGUGUAAGUAACUGUGCACAUCUUGACGGUAACUAAUCAGAAAGCAACGGCUAACUACGUG
RNAcentral lists this ribosomal RNA (497 nucleotides) under uncultured bacterium. RNAcentral describes it as "partial 16S ribosomal RNA". It matches the Rfam family "Bacterial small subunit ribosomal RNA", at positions 28 to 507 of the family's 1533-position model. The record is from RNAcentral.